CAGUUCACUCGCAGACACCCCCGCCCCUGCCUUCUUGUUUUAGCCACGUGAGAUGAGUGUGUAUGGAUGUGUAAGUAUGUAUGUGUGUACUCACCCGAGAGUUCCAAAGCGACUUUUUAACAGAAACUACUUAAGUUAAGAAGUGUCGGUCCCAGAGUUUCCCGCGCUGUGGGAAACUGUUCUCACCCAACAGGAUGAGCAGAGGCCAUCUAGGAACCUCUCAGACGGUACCUUUCCCUGUCAUCAAUGUUAGUGCUGACAACUGCAUCCAUCGCCCUUAGACGGGACAGAGUGGGCUACCCAACUGCUUGCUUUGGUUUGGAUUCGAAGACAUAGAUCACUCGUAGUGCUGAAACCUCGCUUCGGGAAAAUACUGCACAGAAGAUUCCCUGGGGACCGAACAUCGGGACCUGCGCCUCUUGGUCCUUCGAGGCGCCGGCAUUUCGGGCUGUGCAGGACUGGCUGCCCAGACUCUCAAGUCCCAUCUCCUCCAGUCCCAGAAUAUGAACGCUUUUUAGGGGGAAGCAUAGACCUCACCAUAAACCACAACUGACAAAAAUCUGACCCCGUAGAAUCUCCUUGGAAACCACGGAAGUUCGAGUCUUCUAGGCUUCCCUUCUGUCUGCCAACCUAAGCCUAAUAGGGCAGCCUAAAUUCCUAAUAGGGUCAGUGAGCUGAAGGCCCAGAGCUAGACGGGGGCCCAAGGACGCCUCCAGGACAGUUGCGUUCUGUCCUAGGCUGCAAAGAUGAUUAAUAGUCUCAGUACUUAAAGUGUUUGGGAAGAUGCUAAUUUGUGUGCCACUGAUAAAAAUUAAA
This 816-nucleotide long non-coding RNA is filed under the name Phascolarctos cinereus (koala). RNAcentral describes it as "lncRNA (ENSPCIG00000031327.1)". Lineage: Eukaryota; Metazoa; Chordata; Mammalia; Diprotodontia; Phascolarctidae. The record is from RNAcentral.